Aegilops tauschii subsp. strangulata is the source of this 3058-nucleotide long non-coding RNA. RefSeq lists it as uncharacterized. The record is from RefSeq and is a predicted model, not a curated record. NCBI's taxonomy places the organism in Eukaryota, Viridiplantae, Streptophyta, Magnoliopsida, Poales, Poaceae.
CGCUGCUGCCUGUUGGUCCAGCAACCUCUAGAUUUGUCUCUCAGGCUCUCGCUAGAAGGCUCGGGUCCGAUCCAGCGCCACCGCCGCACGGCCGUGUAUAUGACUAUAAAAAGUGACUCGCCUCCUCCCACCCGUACCACCUAGCUCAUGCCUCCUCUCCUGCCGCAGCCCUUCCCUACAUCUCCUCUCCCCAUGGCCAAGCUGCGCCACGGACGCGGCGGGGAUGGUUACCGACACCGUGAGCCACAGAAGAACGAUUGAGUCCUGCAGCGCCGGCGGUAGCGCCUUCCCGGCCGCCGGCGUCCUCUUCCACUUCCAAGCCAUCGAGGAGGACUGCUGUGGCUCUUCCCAUGGCGGCCUCGAGGUUUUGAUUGGGUCCUUGCAUCGGUUUUAACGGAGCCUGAUAGGAACGCCGGGAGAGAAGUAGCCUUGGAUUGGAGUAUCGUGGGCAUUUCAUCCUGUUUGUGGUGGCCAUGGGGCAGGCCAUCGUCGAGAUCCAUCCCUGUGAGCCGCAGUUCAUCUGAUGGGGCAUUGGGGAGAAUUCGUGCUCGAUCCGGCUGCCACCACACGCCAUCUGGUGGGGAAGUAGAGGGGUAGCCGAGCGGAGGAGCGGGCGCGGGUCGGCCGCAGCUCUGGGAGCUCCAGCGGCAGCAAGAGUGGUACAUGAUGACGGCCGCGCUGUAUCCGUACCUCCUCCCGCCGCUCUUCGACGACCUGCCGGCGGCGCUUUUGGCCGCGAGUGCUCUUUGGUCGUGGCCGCGGGAGCCAUGCACGAGCCGGCGUUUCACUAGUGCGCGUGCAGCGCUCUUUCGCUCUCCGGACGGCCUAAUCGAGCGCAUGUACCCAAUCCCCGUCUCUGUCCUCGCCACUGCCUCCGCCAGAAGCCCCGGCAGCGGUCUGCCGUCCUCCUUCCCUCUCAGCCAGAUGUUCUUGUGCUGCUAGCUCAUAUCUCUCUCCCGUACAAUACAAAGACGGGAUGCGUUUGAGGUUUGAACACAUCAUGUGAGUUCAAGCCCCACCACAGACUGUUCUGAAGUUUCUUGAGAUUUUCUGGUUAGGGAGAUUUGGGAUAAAAUAUGCUCUGAAUUUUGGACAACAGUACUGCCAUGAGUUCGAAGUAACAUACUGUUUUGCAAAAAAAGCAGAAGUAACAUACUGAACCGUGAACCGAUUUAGGCUUGCUCAGUUUGUGGCUGCUCAAUUGUGGUGGAUGAACUUAUUAUGAUUUGUUCUCCAAUUCUCCCUUUUUGUGAUAGAGUUUGUGAUUAUUAAGAUUUAGGCAAUGUGUGUCUGUGUCCUUUGCAAAACUUAUCAGUACGAAUCUCCACAUCAUUCAUAUUGAUAUUGUUUUUGACAGGGUAUGCUGGCUGGAACUCAAGGCGGGUUUUUCCGACCAAGUUUUUGGCCAUCCAAUUAACUCUGCUUGGAGGCUUGGACCUUCUAAUAAUUUUAUAAAUUUCAUUUGCUUACAUCAUCUCUACUGAUUAGGUGUUUAAUUUAAGCACUUAACUCUUUAUUCUGAUGGUUAAUUGUUGACUGGAUGUAAAUUUUCAUUUUUAACAAUGAUUCAGCAAUGCAAACUAUCUUCCUAAGAAUAUACUUCCGCUUUCCAAAAAAAUAUUUCCUUCAUGGCCUUCGACCUCGCUUGCUGCUUCUGGAGUAUAGAUACAGUUUGAGGUAGAUAGCAGAGAGCAGUCCAGCGGUAAGAGUUGGAACUAACUUUUUUUUAUAUCAGUUGGAACUAAGCUGCAAAACGAGCUAUACCUAUCGUGCCUCUCGAGCUCACUCCCGUGCCUAUACCUAUCUUGGCGGUCGGCGCCUAUACCCAUCUCGGCGGUCCUUGAUGGGUAUAGGCGCGGAAGUGGGUUCCCAUUUCUUUUGCCUUUCUGAUCAGCACAAUUGGUCCUGGAUGUAUCUAAUCUUUGUCCUGGGUUUCCAUUUCUUCUGUCUAGGAAGCAUUAUUAUCAAAAUCAGCAGGAUCUUUGAGGCCUUGCGACGCUUAACUUUAGUGAGUGGUGUAGGAUCUGGAUUUUAUCCUAAACUACUAUUAAACUCACAAGAGGGAGCAUUUGGGCAAUAUCUGCAUAAAUAUAAACUAUAAAAUUAUAUUAUGGGAGGAGUUUGUUCAUUUUUCAGAACUAAGGAAGUUGGAUAAGUUUAAAUCACUUAUUCAGCAGUUAACUGAACUUUUCUAAUUGUAUUUCAAAUCCACAAGCGGACAAAAUCAUUACUCUUUCCUAUCAUUUAAAUCAGAUGGACGGGCUCCAAACUCCCAGUGCCAUUUGUCGUUUUUGUGUUUUGAUUUUUAUUCGAGUGCCUUUGGUGCUUCUCUUCUCUUGUCGAGAUACAACUCGGUCUGCCGCCAUAGAACACCACUCUGGGCCACCAAUUUGUCAACUCCAUCUCGGCAUUAUGCAUCCAUGGUUGCAGUACUAACCCAUAUUAAUAUUCUCUUGACGUUGUUGUUAUUAGCUUAUAUGUUGAUGUUUCCCUGUAGUUUCCACUUCAGUUACUGAGAUUUUAGUUGUGUGAGCAAAACGACAGUUCUAGGAUUAAUGCUUAUAGUUUGUUGCCAAGUAAUUUCCCUUGGUGGGCAUAUUUCUAAAUAUAGUUUGGCUGAUGAACUUGCGUGUUGUACAGCAUAUCUUGCAGAGAAUAUUCUGUUUUGUUUCUUCAUCUCAUCAUUUGGCCAGUUAAAUGUUUGUGUUUGUAUCCACUGUACAUGGUAUUUCUAAAACGAUAUUGCUAAGGCAUGCAUCGAAUUACCCAUGAUCCACCUGUUAUUUGGAGCCCACUAGCUUAAGUAGCCUAUAACUCAGAUGUCUAGAUGUCUCUUCUACCUGACCUUUGUGUAUCUCAUUCAGUAUGUUUUUGUCAGAGCAAGUGUAUGUUCAGGACCUGCAAUUAAUAGUCAUGGUCAUGUGCUAUAUGUGUAUUCUCUGUAUAUAUAUGCAGCUGCAUACACUUAGUAUGUGUAGUCAGGGCAACUAAUUUCUGUAUGUAAAGAAAUAAUGUGUCUAUUUUUUUAAGAGCAAAUGAGAAGUUUAUGACAAUGCCA